RNAcentral lists this long non-coding RNA (1296 nucleotides) under Sus scrofa (pig). Its description in RNAcentral is "lncRNA (ENSSSCG00000060974.1)". The record is from RNAcentral. Lineage: Eukaryota; Metazoa; Chordata; Mammalia; Artiodactyla; Suidae.
CUCAAAGUUUUAUUGCUAAAAUAUUUCUAAUGAAUUGAACUCAAAUUCCUCAUUUUACAAAAGGCAACGAGAAUACCAAUCACAUAAAUGGAAUACACACUCACACACCAGAAGACAGAAGUGUGAUAAGUCCUCCGAGAGGAUGACCUAUACCGAGUCCCAAACAAACACUCCUCCUCACACACAGUCCUUGAUGAGACACAUGUGAGAACCAAUUGGCAAUAUGACCAAAUGACACUCAAUGCUCAUAAGUGAUCCCUAACAGCAGACACAGGUCAGAACCAAUAGGAAAAUGCCCAAAUAACACUGCAUGUUCAAAAGAAAAGUUUGCAGGUACGCACCAGUGGACACAGAUCAAUGGGACUUGGUGCUGGGGCACAUCACUCAUCCAGAUGCAUUUUUCCGUUCCGCCGAUGGAAAGCUGAAGUUGGCAGUCAGGGCCGAUCAGGGGAGAGACAAGGAAGAUCCCCAAACAAAUGGUUUCAGCAGCAGCCAGGAAGGACCCCCAAAACCCCUCUGGGGCCAGUAGCCAUGAGCAGCAGGCUCAUCAAGGCUAGCCUGGUGGUGUCAUGGUGGGGCAAGCCCCAGGAGCCAGAUCUCGUGAGAGCACAGCUUCAUGUGGGAGCCAAAUACUUCCAAAAAGUGGUUCCAGCUGCUCCAGGCUCAGAGGCCAUUAAAGAGGCAAAGUUGGUGGAAAGGAAAUGGGCAAGAGCUUUUAAAGGGGAGUUUAACGGAUGUAUAGGCAGAGGGAGGGGAUAUAGCAGAAACAGCACAUAGAUCAAUGGGACAAUGAAGAGGCCAGAAAUAAAUCCACACACUUAUGGUCAAUUAAUUUAUGACAAGUUAGGAAAUAGUAUACAGUGAAGAAAAGACAAUCUCUCCAAUAAAUGGUUCAGGGAAAACCAAAUAGCUAUGAAACUGUUCCAUAUCAUGGUUGUGAUCAUAUAUAUGAGUCUAUGCAGGUGAGGAGAUGUUACAGAACUAUAUACACAUACAUAUGAAAAACUUUCUUGUGAAAAAAAAAACUGGUGAAACCUUAAUGGGGUGGGAAGUCUAGUCUAAUUAAUUGCAAUCUGUCUAUGUAAGUUUCUUAAUUUGGUAUCAUACUGUAGUUUUGGAAGUUGUUACCAUUGGGGAAAGCAGUGUGAUGAUUACAUGGGACCUCUUUGUAUGAUUUUUGCAACUUCUUGUGACUAUAAUUAUUUCCAGAUAAAAAUUUUAAAAAGUAAAGUUACUGACCCCAAUUUCCUUGCAAAUAUGAAUAACUCUGUGACCAACUUUCAACCAAUGAGAUAU